RNAcentral lists this ribosomal RNA (390 nucleotides) under uncultured Elizabethkingia sp. RNAcentral describes it as "bacterial SSU rRNA". It matches the Rfam family "Bacterial small subunit ribosomal RNA", at positions 355 to 742 of the family's 1533-position model. Lineage: Bacteria; Pseudomonadati; Bacteroidota; Flavobacteriia; Flavobacteriales; Weeksellaceae. The record is from RNAcentral.
UGAGGAAUAUUGGACAAUGGGUGGAAGCCUGAUCCAGCCAUCCCGCGUGUAGGAAGACGGCCCUAUGGGUUGUAAACUACUUUUAUCUGGGGAUAAACCUACUUACGUGUAAGUAGCUGAAGGUACCAGAUGAAUAAGCACCGGCUAACUCUGCCAGCAGCGCGGUAAUACGGAGGGUGCAAGCGUUAUCCGGAUUUAUUGGGUUUAAAGGGUCCGUAGGCGGGCUUAUAAGUCAGUGGUGAAAUCCGACAGCUUAACUGUCGAACUGCCAUUGAUACUGUGAGCCUUGAGUAAGGUUGAAGUGGCUGGAAUAAGUAGUGUAGCGGUGAAAUGCAUAGAUAUUUACUUUUAGAACACCAAUUGCGAAGGCAGGUCACUAAGUCUUAACUG